GAAUGUUCACAAAUGAGUGUGAACUUCUCAAGAGAGGAUGCUUCAAAUCAGAGUCCUCUUUCCUUUCUUCGCUGGACAUUUUUAUCUUCCAUGUCAUAAACAGGGGAAGAGAUGGAGAUAUGAAUCACUCCCCUCAACAGGACCUCCAGCUCUGCUGUGGUUUCUGAGGACAUUUGAUAGCUUGAAAAGAAAAAGAAGUCCUCGAGCCGAGUGGUCAGAUCCCAUGAUCAUGUCCCUCUGUGUGUUGCAGUCCCGUGCUGUUGUGCAUGCUCUCCGCCAGUGACCCCAAGCUUUUUAUGGCUGUGAGACACGUUCGAAGUUCACGGUGUUCACCACUGCCUGCCUUCUUUCUCAUCCUUCGGUCCACUCAUCCCUUUGCUAUCUAUCACUGAGGGCCCGCGUGCAAGAUUUCAUUUCACCGCAGUUAACAUGCUCCAAGUUGGCAGAGAGAUGAGUUUUGCUGCUGUUCUGGAGAAGCUAGGAGAUCUGUUGGUCAGAGUCUGUGUAGUUGGGGAGAGGAUUGCUG
This 526-nucleotide long non-coding RNA is filed under the name Cavia porcellus (domestic guinea pig). RNAcentral's name for it is "lncRNA (ENSCPOG00000040463.1)". Lineage: Eukaryota; Metazoa; Chordata; Mammalia; Rodentia; Caviidae. The record is from RNAcentral.